GUGGGGAAUUUUGGACAAUGGGGGCAACCCUGAUCCAGCCAUCCCGCGUGUGCGAUGAAGGCCUUCGGGUUGUAAAGCACUUUUGGCAGGAAAGAAAUCGCACGGGAUAAUACCUCGUGUGGAUGACGGUACCUGCAGAAUAAGCACCGGCUAACUACGUGCCAGCAGCCGCGGUAAUACGUAGGGUGCAAGCGUUAAUCGGAAUUACUGGGCGUAAAGCGUGCGCAGGCGGUUCGGAAAGAAAGAUGUGAAAUCCCAGGGCUUAACCUUGGAACUGCAUUUUUAACUACCGGGCUAGAGUGUGUCAGAGGGGGGUGGAAUUCCGCGUGUAGCAGUGAAAUGCGUAGAUAUGCGGAGGAACACCGAUGGCGAAGGCAGCCCCCUGGGAUAACACUGACGCUCAUGCACGAAAGCGUGGGGAGCAAACAGGAUUAGAUACCCGUGUAGUCC
Molecule: ribosomal RNA, 450 nt
Filed under: uncultured bacterium
Lineage: Bacteria
Description: partial 16S ribosomal RNA
Rfam family: Bacterial small subunit ribosomal RNA
Source: RNAcentral